AAAUGGAGUGAAGCGCGUUUUGUGGCUAGGACUCCGACCGUGAGUUGUGUGUGUGUUCACAUCACAGUCAGAGUUCUAGCUAUACGGCGUGGAACAAACCAC
Molecule: microRNA precursor, 102 nt
Filed under: Manduca sexta (tobacco hornworm)
Lineage: Eukaryota; Metazoa; Arthropoda; Insecta; Lepidoptera; Sphingidae
Description: microRNA mse-mir-11 precursor
Gene: mse-mir-11
Rfam family: mir-11 microRNA precursor family (bases 18-87)
Source: miRBase by way of RNAcentral